UUAAUUUACAUUCAAAUCAAAACAAUAAUAGCAAAAUCGAUACAGAAAAUUAGCAUGCCCCUGCACAAGAAUGACACGCACACAUCGAGAAAUUGUCCAAAGUUUU
This is a small nuclear RNA of Impatiens glandulifera, 106 nucleotides long. Lineage: Eukaryota; Viridiplantae; Streptophyta; Magnoliopsida; Ericales; Balsaminaceae. The record is from RefSeq and is a predicted model, not a curated record.